ACGUGACUUUAUCGAAAGAACCAAACAGUAUGUAUUCCUGCAGUCACGAAAGCUUCAAAUCAAGAGUGUUAAUGUUGAUGCUAACAAACGUUGUUAGAAGAAGAAAAAAAAGACCAACAACAACCCCGUGUCUCUUCACAUUUUGAAACACUAGCAUGCACUGAAGACGGAUUGCUUUCAGAAUAAGCUAACGCCGCCUUGAGAGCAGAGAAGAAGUUGGCUACACUCCGUUCCCCGAAUGUCCUUUUGAAAGUGCUGCGGUGUAACAUCAAUUAUUAAGUGGACAAGCGUUGCAGCCGGAGUGAACGAGUCUGUGAAACCACUGGAUGAACGUUGAGAUGUAUAAGGGCAUGGGGGUGACUAAUAAGGUCUGUAAUAAGGUAGGUACUGAUAAUGGCUUGACAGUUAUGCAAGUAUGACAUUUUCUGAGCUUUUAUUCAAUUUGUCAGUGUCCAUGUUUCUUGAUCGAUACCCUGGCAGAAUGUAUAAUCAGAAUCUUCAUUUCGACUGGAGGAAUCCGAUGACCCACGAAGCACUUUUUCGCAGAUGUCCAGCAG
This is a non-coding RNA of Petromyzon marinus (sea lamprey), 557 nucleotides long. NCBI's taxonomy places the organism in Eukaryota, Metazoa, Chordata, Hyperoartia, Petromyzontiformes, Petromyzontidae. The record is from RefSeq and is a predicted model, not a curated record.